CACGUGGUAUCCUGUCUGAAUAUGGGGGGACCAUCCUCCAAGGCUAAAUACUCCUGACUGACCGAUAGUGAACCAGUACCGUGAGGGAAAGGCGAAAAGAACCCCGGCGAGGGGAGUGAAAAAGAACCUGAAACCGUGUACGUACAAGCAGUGGGAGCACCUUCGGGUGUGACUGCGUACCUUUUGUAUAAUGGGUCAGCGACUUAUAUUCUGUAGCAAGGUUAACCGUAUAGGGGAGCCGCAGGGAAACCGAGUCUUAACUGGGCGUUAAGUUGCAGGGUAUAGACCCGAAACCCGGUGAUCUAGCCAUGGGCAGGUUGAAGGUUGGGUAACACUAACUGGAGGACCGAACCGACUAAUGUUGAAAAAUUAGCGGAUGACUUGUGGCUGGGGGUGAAAGGCCAAUCAAACCGGGAGAUAGCUGGUUCUCCCCGAAAGCUAUUUAGGUAGCGCCUCGUGAACUCAUCUUCGGGGGUAGAGCACUGUUUCGGCUAGGGGGUCAUCCCGACUUACCAACCCGAUGCAAACUACGAAUACCGAAGAAUGUUAUCACGGGAGACACACGGCGGGUGCUAACGUCCGUCGUGAAGAGGGAAACAACCCAGAC
Molecule: ribosomal RNA, 607 nt
Filed under: Klebsiella pneumoniae
Lineage: Bacteria; Pseudomonadati; Pseudomonadota; Gammaproteobacteria; Enterobacterales; Enterobacteriaceae
Also listed under: 1 other name
Description: partial 23S ribosomal RNA
Rfam family: Bacterial large subunit ribosomal RNA
Source: RNAcentral